UGGGGAAUAUUGGACAAUGGGCGCAAGCCUGAUCCAGCAAUGCCGCGUGUGUGAAGAAGGCCUUCGGGUUGUAAAGCACUUUUAUCAGGAGCGAAACGCUGUCGGCUAAUACCCGGCGGAACUGACGGUACCUGAGGAAUAAGCACCGGCUAACUUCGUGCCAGCAGCCGCGGUAAUACGAAGGGUGCAAGCGUUAAUCGGAAUUACUGGGCGUAAAGCGUGCGUAGGCGGUUUCUUAAGUCUGCUGUGAAAUCCCCGGGCUCAACCUGGGAAUGGCAGUGGAUACUGGGAGGCUAGAGUGUGUCAGAGGGUGGUGGAAUUCCCGGUGUAGCGGUGAAAUGCGUAGAGAUCGGGAGGAACAUCAGUGGCGAAGGCGGCCACCUGGGGACAACACUGACGCUGAGGCACGAAAAGCGUGGGGAGCAAACAGGAUUAGAUACCCUGGUAGUCCACGCUCUAAACGAUGCGAACUGGAUGUUGGUCUCAACUCGGAGAUCAGUGUCGAAGCUAACGCGUUAAGUUCGCCGCCUGGGGAGUACGGUCGCAAGACUGAAACUCAAAUGAAUUGAC
This 570-nucleotide ribosomal RNA is filed under the name uncultured bacterium. Its description in RNAcentral is "partial 16S ribosomal RNA". It matches the Rfam family "Bacterial small subunit ribosomal RNA", at positions 355 to 914 of the family's 1533-position model. The record is from RNAcentral.